UCCUGCAUCGCUGCCAGCGGCUCGUUUGUAUCAGUGCUCUUACCACUUCGCUCUAAUAUUAGUGUAUUUUAUUGUCGUUGCUAACUUAUCCUGAUAUCUCAAUAACCCUGUUCUUGUUAUCUACUUGAAGAUUCUAAACCAAAAGUGAUAGUUAACUUAACGCCGUUAGCAUAGCAAUAGCGUGUUAGCUUGCUUUCUGUUUACACUGUGGAAUAUCAUCUUGCCUCUGGUUUGUCUUGUGUGCUAACUGUUUCUCUUUUUAAGCGAGUAUACUACGAUCCAUCGAGCAACCUUGGUUACCACAGCGAGCAGGAUGCAGUUCAUGGCCUGACCUGAUGGUAGAGCGGAGAAUGGGAAGUGGGGACCUGACAAGAGCUGAGAUGAUAGAGCUGGAUAAAGAAGGACGCGGUCUCUUGACAUGUCUUCACCACAAAACUUCAAAUGCUAUUAGAUUAUUAAUGAUAAUCUUAAACUAUAAUUUAUUUUAUUAUUAAGUUUAUUUAUUUUAUUUAGCCUUGUUGUGCAAGUUCUCUGGAGCUUGUGCAGAGGCAGCAGCUUUUGCCAGAGGGGAACUGGAAUCCCCUGGUUGGGCCUGGGUUCUCCUGAGGUUUUUUUUCUCGAUUAGAGUUUUGGGUUCCUCGCCACCGUUUGCAUACUGUUUUUGCACUAUCUGCCUGACCGGGGGGGCUGCUUUAGAAUCUUAAAGUUUUACUUAAUUAAUAUUGCAUAUAGGAAUUUAUAGUCUGUUAUAUUUGACCUGUGCUUCUCUCUCCUUAUCCUAAAUGUGUGCUCUCACUGAGCGUGUGUGCGUACUUGUCCGUGUACGUACGUGUGUGUGUGUGUUGUGUGUGUGUGUGUGUGUGUGUGUGUGUGCGUGUGUGUGUGUGUGUGUGUGUGUGUGUGUGUGUGUGUGUGUGUGUGCGUGUGCGUGUGUUGGCAUAUGUGGUUUAUGAGACCAAUUUUCAGGUUUACAUACCAGCAUUACGAGACCAUUCGGUUUAAGAGGCCAGUUUUGAUGGUCUCAUAAUUCUAAACUUUUAAAUUGUUUUAAAAAAUGCUUCAAAUGAUAUUUAUUGAAUAUAAAUACAUGAAUGAUGGUUGCAUAAAUAGCUUUAAUAGUUUAUAUUGUUAUUU
This is a long non-coding RNA of Triplophysa rosa, 1134 nucleotides long. RefSeq lists it as uncharacterized. The record is from RefSeq and is a predicted model, not a curated record. The transcript has 3 exons. Lineage: Eukaryota; Metazoa; Chordata; Actinopteri; Cypriniformes; Nemacheilidae.